UUUUAAGUAAUUUUAUUUAAUGCACCGUAAUCAUUUAUAUUAUAACAUAAAAUGUCAAAUGUUAUUUUGAUGACUCAGACACCGCUCUGGGUUUGUAGCCCCGGUUUUGCAGUGUUACUAUCAGAGCUCAGCGCUGCCAAAAUCCCAUCACGUUUUUCCGUACAGGAGAGUCCUCUGGAAUCCCGUGAUUCACAUAUGGUCUCUCACAUCAGCGUCCGCACUAAUCAGAGCCAGCUUCGCAGUGUGUGUGUUGCGUGAGGCUGUCGUGUUUGCCUGCCAUUAUUCUCUUUAACCUGGCUGUGAAAGGCUGGCCGUGACCCCGGAGGGUCGGGAAGGUUGAGGACUUGGCAGCCGCCAGCGUGUGGAUGCAGGUCUCACGGCGGACGAGCCGAUCCCGGUCUGGAGCUAAUCACUGUUUACUAGAAUCAUUUCCACUUUUCAGCGAGCUACUGUCACGCACGGCCCUGGGAGGGAGGAGGAGGUAAGGGAAGCCCGGGGGUCCGAUGGAGCCGGCGGGAUUCAGGGAAAAAGGACGAGCUGAAAAAAACUGUAGGAAUGCAAAUGCAGAUUAAACAGCAGCGGUGAUCCAGAACCCCAAACGAGCGACUGACACUCAGUGAGAGGAAAUGAACACACUCUCUCUCGCUGCAGGACACUAACCAGUGCUUUAUGAGUGUGACUCACCAGUGCCAUCUUGACCAUGUUAGCGCUCGAUGGAGUCUAUUAACGGCGGUGACAUGAUGCUGAUUCACUUGAGCUCUGCUUUUUUUUGCUCAAGAGCAUUUGGAUGAUUUAAACUGUAGAGUUUCACAUUUUUGCAGAAAAUAGCAGCCAGUGUUUUGAGUGGUUGCCAGGGUGUUGCUAUGCAGUCGGUAAAGUGUUUUGAGUGGGUUUUAGCAUGUUGCUAGGGAGUCACUGCUGUAGCCGGUUGCCAGGGCAUUGCUAUGCAGUUGCUAGGGAGUUACAACAGUGGGUCACUGCCAGAGUGUUGGUAGGGAGUUACUUCAUUUGAAUGUUGCCAGGGUGUCGCUAUGCAGUUGCUAGGGAGUUACUACAGCGGGAUGUUUACAGGGUGUCGCUAUGCAGUUGCUAGGGAGUUACUACAGUGGGACGUUUACAGGGUGUCGCUAUGCAGUUGCUAGGGAGUCACUACAGCGGGACGUUUACAGGGUGUCGCUAUGCAGUUGCUAGGGAGUCACUACAGCGGGACGUUUACAGGGUGUCGCGAUGCAGUUGCUAGGGAGUCACUACAGCGGGAUCUUUACAGGGUGUCGCUAUGCAGUUGCUAGGGAGUCUCUACAGCGGGACGUUUACAGGGUGUCGCUAAGCAGUUGCUAGGGAGUCACUACAGCGGGACGUUUACAGGGUGUCGCUAAGCAGUUGCUAGGGAGUUACUGCUGCAGGUUGUUGCUAGGACAUUGCUAUAUAGUUUGCUAGGGAUUUACAACAGUAGGUGUUUGCCACUGUGUGUUGCUAUGCACUUGCUAGGGAGUUACUUUGGUAGGUCGUUGUCAGGGUGAUGAUAUAAAGUUUCUAGGGAGUUCCUGCAGCAGGUUGUUGCCAGGGUGUUGCUAUGCAGUUGCUAGUAUGUUACUGCAGCAUGCUGUUGCCAGGGCGUUGCUAUUGCUAUAUAUAGUACAGAAAUAGAUUAUAAAGGCAUAGGUUAUUUUAUCUUUAUACGUUUUAUUUUAAUCUUGAAACUAGAAAGCUGCUGUUGUGCUCUGUGUGAUUUAUAGUUUUAUGACGUGCUUGAACAUUUUGUUUUUGUUACAUAAAUCAUCACAAGAAUAUCCAAGAUUUCCAAAAACAGGCUAUCUUUAACCGAAUCCAGUGACGUUAUUAAAUUAUUGCGGUCUGUUCUAAAACGAGAGCGAGUCACCUGAGGGAACGCGAGUGCACAGACGUCUCACAGCGGGAUGCUUGUGCUUUUGCCAGGUGUGUUCUGAUGUCUUCUGCAGAGGUUUCUUGCGUGCGAGGAUGAGUUUGCGUGCCACACCGGCCUCGCGUGCGCAGAUCCCGGUCACCGGCCCCGACCUCCCCUGGGACGAGGAGGAGGAGGAGAUUAAAAUGAGACGGGGAAGGGGAAAAAAAAUACGACGAGAAAUGGCUUCCAGAUGACCCCGAUUUGAGUUGGUUAGCUCAUUUGUAGCUGGCAGACGGACUUUGACAGGAACGAUUACAGCAGCCUGAAGCUCCACACAGCAGCAGCACAUCUCCAGCUUAAUGAAGGAUUACUCACACAUACAUCUGCACUAUUCACAAAUUAGAAUCAGUAACUUUCUCACUAUAAAUAAACUUUCUGUUCUACAAUGUGGGCUUCAGUAAUAAGACUUUUUAAAGUGUUUAAAUACAUUGAUUAAAUGGUUUUAUACUACGAAAACAAUCUUUAAAACUCAAAAUAGACUUUUAUUACUUUUACGACUAUAAUUAUUGUGAAAAAAAUAAGUUGCCAUGAAGUUGCUCUUCACAUUGUGUAAUUGUUUGGAUAAUUAGUUCUUUAGUUCGAUUCUUUUGGUUUUGUGUAUCCUUUCCAAUACACCAAAGAAAACUUUAUUUGUUGUCUAUAACACAUAUGAUUUCUUUUUUUUUUUUUUCUUUUUUUUAAUGAACAUUAUAAAUCUAGUCAUGGUCAUGAUGGUUUGGUUAGUUAGUAUGGGUUGUUAGUUAGCACCUGUUGGUAGAUUCUGUAACUACACCAUAAUGCUGCCAAAAAACAUCUUUCACAAGUAGCCAUGUAUUCUGAUUAAAUAAUUAUUUGCUUGCAACAUAAAGUAGAAUAAAUAAAUAUAAAAUAAUUAGAUGCUUUUCCAGUGAUUAUUUGCUUUAUGUAUUGCACUUAAAAGUGAUUUAUUUUUU
Molecule: long non-coding RNA, 2856 nt
Organism: Cyprinus carpio carpio
Lineage: Eukaryota; Metazoa; Chordata; Actinopteri; Cypriniformes; Cyprinidae
Source: Ensembl